GUGGGGAAUAUUGGACAAUGGGCGCAAGCCUGAUCCAGCCAUGCCGCGUGAGUGAUGAAGGCCCUAGGGUUGUAAAGCUCUUUCACCGGUGAAGAUAAUGACGGUAACCGGAGAAGAAGCCCCGGCUAACUUCGUGCCAGCAGCCGCGGUAAUACGAAGGGGGCUAGCGUUGUUCGGAUUUACUGGGCGUAAAGCGCACGUAGGCGGACUUUUAAGUCAGGGGUGAAAUCCCGGGGCUCAACCCCGGAACUGCCUUUGAUACUGGAAGUCUUGAGUAUGGAAGAGGUAAGUGGAAUUGCGAGUGUAGAGGUGAAAUUCGUAGAUAUUCGCAGGAACACCAGUGGCGAAGGCGGCUUACUGGUCCAUUACUGACGCUGAGGUGCGAAAGCGUGGGGAGCAAACAGGAUUAGAAACCCCAGUAGUCC
RNAcentral lists this ribosomal RNA (425 nucleotides) under uncultured bacterium. RNAcentral's name for it is "bacterial SSU rRNA". It matches the Rfam family "Bacterial small subunit ribosomal RNA", at positions 354 to 796 of the family's 1533-position model. The record is from RNAcentral.